This 203-nucleotide ribosomal RNA is filed under the name Trachelyopterus (Parauchenipterus) sp. RNAcentral describes it as "partial 16S ribosomal RNA". The record is from RNAcentral. Lineage: Eukaryota; Metazoa; Chordata; Actinopteri; Siluriformes; Auchenipteridae.
AAGAGGGCACUAUGAACCCACCAAACAACAAGAAAUUAUCAUAUAAUUUAAUCGUUAACCCCACACUGGAGGGCCACAUAAAGGAAAGACUAAAAGAAAAGGAAGGAACUCGGCAAACAUAAGCCUCGCCUGUUUACCAAAAACAUCGCCUCCUGCCAAACUCAAAGUAUAGGAGGUCUUGCCUGCCCAGUGACAAGUUAAAC